Molecule: ribosomal RNA, 510 nt
Filed under: uncultured bacterium
Lineage: Bacteria
Description: partial 16S ribosomal RNA
Rfam family: Bacterial small subunit ribosomal RNA
Source: RNAcentral
GACGAACGCUGGCGGCGUGCUUAACACAUGCAAGUCGAACGAAGAGCGAUGGAAGCUUGCUUCUAUCAAUCUUAGUGGCGAACGGGUGAGUAACGCGUAAUCAACCUGCCCUUCAGAGGGGGACAACAGUUGGAAACGACUGCUAAUACCGCAUACGAUCCAAUCUCGGCAUCGGGACUGGAUGAAAGGUGGCCUCUAUUUAUAAGCUAUCACUGAAGGAGGGGAUUGCGUCUGAUUAGCUAGUUGGAGGGGUAACGGCCCACCAAGGCGAGGAUCAGUAGCCGGUCUGCGAGGAUGGACGGCCACAUUGGGACUGAGACACGGCCCAGACUCCUACGGGAGGCAGCAGUGGGGAAUCUUCCGCAAUGGACGAAAGUCUGACGGAGCAACGCCGCGUGAGUGAUGACGGCCUUCGGGUUGUAAAGCUCUGUUAAUCGGGACGAAUGGUUCUUGUGCGAAUAGUGCGAGGAUUUGACGGUACCGGAAUAGAAAGCCACGGCUAACUACGUG